CAAUAGCGUAUAUUAAAGUUGUUGCGGUUAAAAAGCUCGUAGUUGGAUUUCUGCUGAGGACGAUCGGUCCGCCCACUGGGUGAGUAUCUGGCUCGGCCUUGGCAUCUUCUUGGAGAACGUUGCUGCACUUGACUGUGUGGUGCGGUAUCCAGGACUUUUACUUUGAGGAAAUUAGAGUGUUUCAAGCAGGCGCACGCCUUGAAUACAUUAGCAUGGAAUAAUAAGAUAGGACCUUGGUUCUAUUUUGUUGGUUUCUAGAGCUGAGGUAAUGAUUAAUAGGGAUAGUUGGGGGCAUUCGUAUUUAACUGACAGAGGUGAAAUUCUUGGAUUUGUUAAAGACGGACUACUGCGAAAGCAUUUGCCAAGGAUGUUUUCAUUGA
This 380-nucleotide ribosomal RNA is filed under the name uncultured eukaryote. Its description in RNAcentral is "partial 18S ribosomal RNA". It matches the Rfam family "Eukaryotic small subunit ribosomal RNA", at positions 592 to 976 of the family's 1831-position model. The record is from RNAcentral.